Molecule: long non-coding RNA, 577 nt
Organism: Gracilinanus agilis (Agile Gracile Mouse Opossum)
Lineage: Eukaryota; Metazoa; Chordata; Mammalia; Didelphimorphia; Didelphidae
Exons: 4
Source: RefSeq, a predicted model, not a curated record
GUCAACCUAAAGUAUAUAAAAUUCAGAGGACAAGAUAUUUGAAGCUGGAGACAUUUAGAGAACCAUAAAAAGGUUGCUUCAUGCCAUCCAACAAUCUGAUAUGCAUGUCAUCUUGAUGUUUCUGACCCCGUGCAAUGUGAGCUCCUCAAAGGCAAAGAAAUUAUUUCUAUUGGUGGAGGAAUAUCAGCAAAUCACUAAUGUAAAAGCCUUUUAAAAAUAACAAAAGUAAAAAGAAAACUGCAGUAUUAUAUAGUGGAAAGAAUGAUGGAUUGGAGUCUGAAGAAGCAUGUAUUCAAAUUCUACUUCUGCCACUUCCUACCUCUGUGAACAUGGGUCUUUGCCAGUAAGUGGAGGAGGCACAAGGGCAACAGCUGCCCCUUCCAUUUCCAGGGAAGUGGCAACCCUGAGCCAGAGGAUUGGGGAGAGGAAAGGGAGGGGUCAUGCUGCUUAGGCCAUGGAGACUGGGCGGCUUCAAAAGGGACAGCAGAAUAGGGGGAGGAGACAUGUCUUCUAGCCCCUUUUGGAAGGUUGCAGAUCUGGCUCCUCUCUCCCUUUCUUGUCUGUCUGGAGGAGGAAG